AAUAGAUACCCGGGUAGUCCAUGCCGUAAACGUUGGGAACUAGAUGUAGGGCCUGUUCCACGGGUUCUGUGUCGUAGCUAACGCAUUAAGUUCCCCGCCUGGGGAGUACGGCCGCAAGGCUAAAACUCAAAGGAAUUGACGGGGGCCCGCACAAGCGGCGGAGCAUGCGGAUUAAUUCGAUGCAACGCGAAGAACCUUACCAAGGCUUGACAUAUAGAAGAACACUGCAGAGAUGCAGGACUCUUUGGACACUUCUAUACAGGUGGUGCAUGGUUGUCGUCAGCUCGUGUCGUGAGAUGUUCGGUUAAGUCCGGCAACGAGCGCAACCCUCGUCCUAUGUUGCCAGCGGGUGAUGCCGGGAACUCAUGGGAUACUGCCGUGGUCAACACGGAGGAAGGUGGGGAUGACGUCAAAUCAUCAUGCCCCUUAUGUCUUGGGCUUCACGCAUGCUACAAUGGCCGGUACAAAGGGCGGCGAUACCGUAAGGUGGAGCGAAUCCCAAAAAGCCGGUCUCAGUUCGGAUUGGGGUCUGCUAACG
This 538-nucleotide ribosomal RNA is filed under the name uncultured bacterium. RNAcentral's name for it is "bacterial SSU rRNA". It matches the Rfam family "Bacterial small subunit ribosomal RNA", at positions 777 to 1313 of the family's 1533-position model. The record is from RNAcentral.